Molecule: microRNA precursor, 78 nt
Filed under: Loxodonta africana (African savanna elephant)
Lineage: Eukaryota; Metazoa; Chordata; Mammalia; Proboscidea; Elephantidae
Description: miRNA (ENSLAFG00000033044.1)
Source: RNAcentral
CCUCCGUGCUCCUAGUCCCUUCCUUGAAGAGGUCGGAUAAGCCACAUGAUGAGUCUCAAGCAAGGGACUUGGAGCUGG